This 104-nucleotide non-coding RNA is filed under the name Alkalihalophilus pseudofirmus. RNAcentral describes it as "Bacillus pseudofirmus SAM-I sequence". It matches the Rfam family "SAM riboswitch aptamer (S box leader)". Rfam says of the family: The SAM riboswitch is found upstream of a number of genes which code for proteins involved in methionine or cysteine biosynthesis in Gram-positive bacteria. The SAM riboswitch acts at the level of transcription termination control. The predicted structure consists of a complex stem-loop region followed by a single stem loop terminator region. The record is from RNAcentral. RNAcentral also lists the same sequence under 1 other name. Lineage: Bacteria; Bacillati; Bacillota; Bacilli; Caryophanales; Bacillaceae.
CUCUUAUCAAGAGCAGGCGGAGGGACAAGCCCAGUGAAGCCCGGCAACCGGUUUGAAAAACACGGUGCUAAUUCUUGCAGCGAUUAUUAGCUGAUAGAUAAGAG